UACGGGGGGGGCAAGCGUUGUUCGGAAUUACUGGGCGUAAAGGGCUCGUAGGCGGCCAACUAAGUCGGAUGUGAAAUCCCCAGGCUUAACCUGGGAAUUGCAUCCGAUACUGGAUGGCUUGAAUCCGGGAGAGGGAUGCGGAAUUCCAGGUGUAGCGGUGAAAUGCGUAGAUAUCUGGAGGAACACCGGUGGCGAAGGCGGCAUCCUGGACCGGCAUUGACGCUGAGGCGCGAAAGCCAGGGGAGCAAACGGG
Molecule: ribosomal RNA, 253 nt
Filed under: uncultured bacterium
Lineage: Bacteria
Description: partial 16S ribosomal RNA
Rfam family: Bacterial small subunit ribosomal RNA
Source: RNAcentral